GUAAUCCACCAGAAUUGGCAGUGUUUGGCCUGUCAGAAACAAAAAAUGCAUUUGUUAAGCCGUCUCUACCCAGUUGCUUGGUGACUGAUAAGGACCAAUUCAAGAAUCCUGCCAGUUUACCUCUAAACCCAGCUCCAAUACAACCUUUUCGCAAAGACAUCGAGUCCCUGGACACGUCGUAUGAAGGUUUUGAAAAGUACUUAGACCCCUAUCUGACGACCAGCAGACUUCACCAUCGUCCAUACUCGGCAGAACAUUUAAAUAGGAUUUCAAAUUCAAAAGGUGUGAUCACGUAUUACACUUGUGCGAAACAACCUUGGGUUAGAUCACCGAAACCAAACUCGGAUAAAUGUUUACCAUUAAGUAGACCAAAAUCAAUGUUCGACAGAGAAAAAUUUAAAGAGGACUUUAGAGA
Pieris brassicae (large cabbage white) is the source of this 415-nucleotide long non-coding RNA. RefSeq lists it as uncharacterized. The record is from RefSeq and is a predicted model, not a curated record. The transcript is spliced from 3 exons. NCBI's taxonomy places the organism in Eukaryota, Metazoa, Arthropoda, Insecta, Lepidoptera, Pieridae.